CCGGCGCGCGCCCUGUGGCUAAACCAAACACCUCCACCGGCAGGCAGCAGGACCCGGCGAGCGGGGUCAAAUGUGAUUCAAAGGCGGGGGGGAGGGAGUAGAAAGGGGGGGCUCUGCUAUGCUACGAAAAAAAAAAACUUACAGCUGAUUCACCCACUUCUAGCUGCAGACGAGAGGAGAAAGCCAUCCGACAGCAGCAACCAACUCUAUCAUCUCCACUAGAGGGAGGGCUAUCUCACAACAAGGCCACCAAGGAGCUGCAUCUGAGGGUCAGCAUGUGGUGAGUCAGUAGAAGCGAGCCAGCGAGCGCCUGAUCUCCGAGCGAGGCUUGUCAGCGUGGUCCUGAGUGGGCUGUGUGGAGCUUCUGUCAGAGAGUGUCACAUUUCCACGGCCCACACUGUGGCUCCUCUGUCCUCCUCAUGGCUGCAGCUCAAUGGGUCCUUUGAUGGGCCAACCCG
Molecule: long non-coding RNA, 458 nt
Organism: Oreochromis aureus
Lineage: Eukaryota; Metazoa; Chordata; Actinopteri; Cichliformes; Cichlidae
Source: Ensembl